GGCCUCGCAGCUCAGCUGGUAGAGCGUGCACGUACAAAUUGUAGGCGGCGUCCAUGCGUGGGUUCAAAUCCCACCGAGGCUA
RNAcentral lists this transfer RNA (82 nucleotides) under Echinostoma caproni. It matches the Rfam family "tRNA". From Rfam's summary of the family: Transfer RNA (tRNA) molecules are approximately 80 nucleotides in length. Their secondary structure includes four short double-helical elements and three loops (D, anti-codon, and T loops). The record is from Rfam by way of RNAcentral. Lineage: Eukaryota; Metazoa; Platyhelminthes; Trematoda; Plagiorchiida; Echinostomatidae.